Molecule: long non-coding RNA, 7510 nt
Organism: Lagopus muta (rock ptarmigan)
Lineage: Eukaryota; Metazoa; Chordata; Aves; Galliformes; Phasianidae
Exons: 3
Source: RefSeq, a predicted model, not a curated record
CAGCUCUCUGCUGGACUUGCUCCACAGCUCUUCACAUACUCUUGCAAAGCAAUGACAAAUCAGACUGGUUCAUCUUUCCUUUUACUUCAUAGUCUUUUUCUUUAUUAAUAUGACAGUUUUUUUAGGACAUUCCAUGGAUUUCAGUACCAUGAUCAGAGAGAUGGCAGACAUUUCCCCCAGUAUGUUUAUGCCUCACUUAUGUCUUUCACUCACCCACAGGCUGAAGCAAGCAAUGAACUGGGGGCAUAGUUCUUAACCUCCUUAGCGAGUGAAGCAUUUGCAUGUUUUAUGCAACACCAGCAUCUAACGCAGCCAUUUUUCUGUGACUACAAUUUACUGGAAGUUCUGUUUGGCAAUGCAAAUAUUCACAGCUAGUUUGGAAAGGUGUUAAAUAUUUCCUAGACAAUAUCAGAAGGCAGAAAGAACUUAAGUGGAUGUGUCUUUCUGAAGUAUGGAUAAUUAUCGAUGUAAUUCCUGAUGAGGCUGAAAUGGCGAUAGUUUCUAAUUUAAGGGGAGAGUCCGCUCCAUACACUGACAAUUUUGAAAGCUUUAGCAUCGCUGUGGAAAAACUGGUGAAUGAAGAUUCCUUCCAUUUUAUGUUGGAACAGAUAUACUAGCACAUAUUAGACAAAGCUAACUAAAUCAAUAUUUUCUAAGAAAAAAAUAGUGUCUUUGAUUUUCUAAAGCCUUAUUAAAAUUAAUUAAAUAUUCAGGACCUGUUUUGUGAGGAAAUCACGAAGAUGACAGAUUAAAGUUUUUAUAUUAGUAUUCUGUAUUUUAAUGAAAACAUGAUAGUUAUUCCUAUAAAAUAUUCCCUUAGGAAACAACUGAUACUGCAGUCAAUAUAGCUGUGACUAUAGUGCCAACAGUUUGACAGCUGCCUUAUUUUAUCUAUGCACAUCAUAGAUAUACGUACUGACUGUACUUAGGUUUGUAACAAACGCUAAACAUGGACAUGCUGUUCCUGAGUAUCAAUUGCUAGAGUUUUUAAAACUUUGUUUCCUACUAGACUAAAUGUUGAGACUUGUCUGCAGUUUUGGAGAUGGAGACUUUUAUCAUGGUUCUGCCUCUUAUAAAUCAGUUCUACCUGAAAUAGGGAGACUCUAGAUGAUGACUUAAACCUAAAUGUUUUUCCAGUACAACACUUGAUUCUUUAUCGCUUAUAACAUCCUUCACUGGGGAGAACUACGGAGUAUUAAUAUUUAUAAUACAUAGAUCUGUAUUUAUUAUCACUUCUGAGUUCUAACAGCAACUGUUACUGAUAUGAGACCUUAUUUGCCUUGGUUCAGCUGUCCUAUUCUGCAUUUUAGUUUUCUGUAUCAUUUAUUUUGGCAAUGGAAGAUUUACACGUAGAAUCACACCUCAGAAAAGAAAUUUAUGAAGCAAAAAUACAACCAUAAGCGUCCUCAAUUAAUGAGUUCUGGGUCCGUAAAAGACCAACGUGUAGAGCUGGGGUCUAUUUGAAAACCUUUCCCUCAGAAGUUAAUCACACUUGCCUUUCUUAAAAGUAUUUACAGAUGCAAGUUAUCUUAGAAUUCAGGAUGCUGCUGGAUCCGCUGCUGUUUCCUGAUACUCUUCAGUAAAAUCAGCAAGCACUGAGUCUGCUGUGCCAGUGAGUAGACUGAAAUCGACAAGGCGCAGAGAGAGGACACAGCCAGGAGAGCUGACACAAACUGACCAAAGGGACGUUCCUAUUGUAUGACUUAGUGUUUGGCCCGAAAAUCCAAGGAAAAGGAGAAGAAAAGGGAGGACAACUUGUUCUGGAUAUCCUCUCUAAAAAAUUGGUAGAGAAGAAGGUUAAGAAGGUUAUGAGGAGUAGUCAGCAUGAAUUCUCCAAGGAAAAAUCAUGCGUGAUUAACCUGGUAGCCUUCUAUGAUGUUGUCACUGGCUGAGUAGAAGGGGGGAGAGCAGUGGAUGUUGUCUACCUUGACUUUAGCAAGUUUUUUAACACCAUCUCCCAAAACAUCCUUGUUACAAAACUUAGAAAAAUGUGGGAGAGAUGAGCGGAUGGUGAGGUAGAUUGAGAAUUGGCUGGUUGGUAGAGCUCAGAGGGUUGUCAUCAAUGGUGCAGAGUCUGGUUGGAGACCUGGAAAUAGCAGUGCUCCCCAGGAGUCUGUGCUGGGUCUGGUCUUGUUUAACAUCUUCACCAACAACCUGCAUUAAGGGAUAGAGCCCACCCUCAGCAAAUUUGCUAAUUUACAAAGCUGGGAGGCAGUGGCUGGCACAACUGAAGGCUGUGCUGCCAUUCAGCAAGACCUGGAGAGACUGGAGAGUUGGGCUGGGAGGAACCUGAUGAGGUUUAACAUGAGCAAGUAUAGAGUCUUGCACCUGGGGAGGAGAAACUGCAUGCAUCAGCACAGGAUAGGGGAUAACCUGCUGAAGAAGAACCUGGGUAUUCUGGUGGAUAACAGGUUGUCCAUGAGCCAGCAGUGUGCCCUCAUGGCCAAGAAGGGCCAGUGGUACCCUGGGCUGCAUUAAAAAGAGUGUGGCCAGCAGGUUGAGGGAGGUUACCCUCUUCCUCUACUCUGCCCUGAUGAGAGCACAUAUGGACUACUGCAUCCAGUUCUGGGAUCCCCAGAUCACUAAAGACAGGAAUGUCCUAAAAGGAGGCCACUAAGAUGAUUAAGGGCCUUGAGCGUCUCCCCUGUGAGGAAAGACUAAGAAACCUGGGUCUGUUCAGCCUGGGGAAAAGAAGACUGGAGGGGGUCUGAUAAAUAUCUGUAAGUAUCCAAAGGGAGGUGGGAGGCAAAUGGAUGAGGCCAGACUCUUUUUGGUGGCAUAUAGUGGUAACAAAAAGGAGCAGUAGCUUAGAAUUUGAACGUUGUUCCACACUAACAUGUUUGUAGUGGAAAUGCUAAGUCACAGUCUGAAAAUGUAAUUGAGCAUCUGGUGGGAAAGCAGGGCUAACCCACAGGAGCUCAGGUGCAUGCAGUGCAUCUCUGUGAAUAAAAGGGGUGAAGCCAGAAUCCACCCAAUCCCAGAUCUUAUUUAAAGGUUGGCAGUAGAGGCAAAGGUAUCUUGCUGGAGAUUCCUGCAUGCUAGAGACCUUCCAAAGGUAAGCAGAUUCUUUUCUUUGUAUCUGUGUUUAUGGCUGCUGCAUUUGAGCUUAUUUGCUGUAGCCUAGGGUUUUGUUACUAUGCUGUCAUAUUGCUGAGUUUUCCAUCAUGUUGCAGUGUUAUACAUGUGGAUAGAGCUCUUUAUGGUAAGGAUGCCUGAGUACUGGCACAAAUUGCUCGAGGGGGUUGUGGAAUCUGCUAUGGAGAUAUCCUGGAUCUCCCAGAUGAUCAUCUGUGUGACCUAUUUUAGGGAACCUACUUUAGCAGGGGGUGAGACUCAACGAUCUCUUGAGGUCCCUUCCAACCUCUGUAAUUCUGUGGUUCUGACAGUUCUAGUUGUGAUACCUGUUCUUUCAAGUAACCGUUACGUGUGCUGAGGCUCUGCAUUCCAGGACAUCUGCCUGUAAGUGUGAAACAGUGAAUGAAUUACUUAAUUCACUUUGCUUACAUGUUUGGCAUUGCUUCACCCAUUUAUCUAAACCUGCAGACUUUUAGCUUCUGCUCUUCUGCUUCUUUCUCCCAUCACAUUGUAGGGAAAUUAAAUAAGGGGCAGGUUGAAGUUUUAUCUGCUGAUUGAGGUAAGUACAUUUACUUGAUCUUUUUUUAUCAUGGACUAUUUCAUAAUUAUUAUAAAUUAAGAUGCUGGUGUUUUUUUUUUAAUUAUUUUGAAGUUAAGUUUUUCUGUUUGUUGGUUGGUUUUAUAAAACCAAGCCUUCGUCUCCUCAGCUAUGCAAGAGAUUUCUUCAACGCUCACUAGGGUACAGUUUGUUAUGAUUACUAAAAGCCAUGAUGCUCUUUCAUUUUCCAUGGAAAGGAAAAUGGCAAAUUAAAUCUAGAAGUCACCCAAUUAUUUUAGAUUAGUGUAAGCCUAACAGGAUUUUUUUUUUUCAUAGUUGAAAGGACCUGGCAAGACUAGUCAACUUGACAGAGGAAAGUAAAAGCCAUGAAGAUUAGAUGUGCAUUGGAAGUUACAAUAAAUAAAUAAAUUAGCUGUAGCUAACUAGAGAAGGAUAUGCUCAUUAGUAUUAUAGUCUACACUAUAAUAUAUAUAGUAUAUAAUAUAUAUAGUAUUCUGUAGUGCCAUGGAAACAUUUGUUUUAAGCCUAACACCUCUUUAUUUCCAGUUUUCAAUUCAUGACAAUUGCUGUCAUUAAAACAGGAGUAUUUUAAUGUUCCUCUUUUUUCUUUUUUAAAAGAAAACCUUUUUCACAAAUGUGAAGUGAGAAGCAGGAAAGUAUCUUGUUUGAAUAGUUUUUUGUUGUUCAUUUGUCACCAUUUAUGAUGUCCUGUAAUUCAGUAGAAGAUCUAUACUCUGAAGGGUCAUUCAGAAUUAAGGACAAACAGGCAAAGGUUACCGGAAGCAGAUAUUGGUGAAAACAGAUCAAUGUGUAGUAAGAAGAAGAUGAAAAUAUAGAUGUUCAAGUCACUAAAGAUGGAAUUGGCAUACACAAAAACUUUGUAUCAUGGGGCUUUUUUUCUUCUUCUUAAAAGAAGGUCAGGAUCUCUGUGGCGUCUCCAAUGGUAUUUCAGGAUGUUCUCAUUUGCAAAUGACAUUUUGCUGUUGCCAGAAUACCUCUAUUUUCUUCUUGAUACCUUUGCUUUCCUUACCAGCUUGGCAGCUUCAUAGGCACUUAAAUACUGAUUACAUAUGUGCUAUGAAAGGGCUUCUGUUUCUAUCCAUACUGCAGAAAAAAAUCUUAAAAAGAGGAAUUAAAAAAUAAAAAGUGAAUAUUGCUGGUUAAAUAAUAGCUGCAUAAUAUUUCUUACUUGAAAGUAGUUUUAAAAUCAGGAUGACUUAAUUUGGCAUUACUUCUAUCUUCUUUCUGUCCUGGCAUGUGAAGACUUUAGGUUGAUUACUUUAAUACCAUGCGUUUCCAGUUCUCUUCGUUGACCUCGUUGACAAUGUGUGUGGGUUGUUGCGACACUAGGUCCACCAUGGAAGAUAGAUUUCUCAGUCUGUGCAGAAUAUCCUACUAAACACUUGUGAUUUGCUGCCAUUAUAAAACUAACAAGAUCAUUAAUAUGAAAACUGUGCCAAAGAUUGAUUGAGAAACAAUAAGAAUAGAAGUUCAUAAUAAAAAUGUUUAGCCUAUAUAAUCAAUAUCCUGUACUUAUAUAAACAUAAGGAGGGAAGUCUCAAAAUAUCAAAGUAAUUAUUAUGGUAUUUUCUCCUCCUGGGAAGGGUAAUUUAUUCUGGGAAGGCUGGUAGAUGUAUUAUAACUUAAAAAAAAAAAAAAAAUUAAAAAUCUCAUACACUGUCAAUUUCCCUUUAAGAUGCCCUUCUCCACAAAGCUUUCAGUACAUCUCAUUCUCCAAGGAGUAAUUAACUUUCACACCUUUCUGCUGUGUGUGUGUGCCACGUGUUUGUGAAACAGGCAGCAGAAUAAUGGCCAUGAACAGUACAGAGAAAACUCCUUCCUACAGAACAUUAAAUGCAUUUGGUGGUAGCUCAUCAUGUAUUCUGACAAGAACAAAGUAAUACCUUGUGAUGAAAAUGGGACAUAUGGGUCAUCUGAGUCCCACUAUUUAUAUCUCUAGACUUUCUACCUAGUAAUAUUCCUUUUCUUCUAAGUGCUUGUGUAAUUGAUUUCAAAUAAGUUCAUGGCUACCUCUUUUGUGGCUGCUGUUGGCGGUCCAUUUCACAUACUAAUCACCAUCUGUGCCAAGAUGUUUCCUGAAUGCCUUUCAUGCUUAGUCCUUUCCCAACUUCAUUUUAUGUGUUCUUACUUUGCAGUCUGCAAUAUCUCACUGAAUACCAUCAGCACCAGCCCUUCUCAGUACUGGUCUUCCAGUGCUCCAGAGCCCCGCUGGAGUCUUUUUCUUUAAAUUCAAAUUUAUCUGUUUCUGUUAAAUUCAAAUUUAUCAGAUAUAAAUGAACUUCUCUUAAUCCAUUUGAUAUUAACAUCUAAAUUUUUCUCUCAUUCUUGCAGUUUCUUCCACGUUGCAAAGCAUGCUUCAUAGAAGUCUAAGAUUGGAGAAAUGAAAAAGAAUGAUUGUUUCAAUAUUUGUCUUCAUUUCUCUUAUAUACUGAUUGAUGUUCUUCAAUCAACUUAGUAGAUGCCAGAGUUUAAUAACCUGAUUGCUGAAGUACUACAAGAACACAGAUUUAAGAAUGUACAGAUUAUGGUCAGGAAAAUAAUAUCUGCAAUCAUCAGCAGGAGGUAUUUGAUCAAGAAUAACAGAGACAACAACAUAAGUAAAACAGAGGCUAAAAAGACACUCUCAAAACACUGAAGAUCUCCAGAAUUGAUUGAGAGCUACAAAGAGAAAACAGGAGAGGUUUGUUGCUGUUUCCCACAAUCCAUUGAGAAGUAGGAAAUACUUCAUAUAAAUCUAAAAGCUUUUUGGUUACUGAACCAUACAAUGAUUAUAAAGGGAUAACAAACCACCAGAAACAUUCCACCACUGAAACAGAGCAAGAAAAAAAAAAUCCAAACAAAAAAAAAGACAUGCAGAACUGUGAUUCCUUUAUAUUUAAGCUGAGAAGAUGUUUUUUCCUGAUGGCAGAGGUAUUGAUCAUUUUGUCACUGAGUACUAGUGUCAGCAAAACUAUUGUGUGACGACAAAUUUUCCAAAUUUAUGUAGACAAUCCAGAACAAAUAAGAGUAUAAAACAAAUUCUCCUUUCCUCUGUUAAACAUGUGUGUGAUUUUCAGUAUACUAUUCACCCUUAUUUAUGUUGCUAUGUUGCUGCUCAGUUACUACUGAAAAAUAUCACCUUUGAAUUUUUAAAUCAUGACUGGAUAUUAAUUUGGCAUGGAGAUAAAGGUAAGUUUUUCACUUCAUCUUGCAUUGAGAACUUGAACUACAAAUAGUAAACUUGCUUUUGCUUGCACUCUAAAGAACUUAUUUAUGAAGAAUACCUUGUUUUUUGCUUUCUAAAUAUGACGCAUAAAAAUAUGGCGUGAGCGGCACAAAAAUCCUUGAGUAAAAUACAUUUACAUUAAAUGGACUUAGUAUACUGGAGUAGCUUUAUUCUUAUUAAGCUUGGUGCAAGACACAAGUACUAAGUGUUCCUUUGCAAUAAGUUUCGAGUAUCUUCAAAGGUCAAGAAUAACCUUAGUUUUGAAAUGGAAGAAAGCAGAAUGACGUUUUAAUUUUUCAAACUUCAGAAUGUAUUUAUGUAAUUGUAGUUUCUAUGCAAGUGUUUACAUAGGAUUUACUCAUUGAAAUCACCAUGAAUGUUUCUUGCCCUUGAUCUCGUUUUAGCAGUGGAGUAUUCCUUAAAGUUUCUUUUUAUUCCCACGACUAUUCUAUGACUGUCACUCCAGCAUUGAAAACACUUAUUCAAGUGUUUGUAUUUAUUCAAGUAUGUAUUUAUUCAAGUCUUCAGUGUUAAUUCAAGUAUGGUGAUUUCAGGUUGAAAUCUAUGCUCUGUCCAAAUUAAAGAAGAGAUCUGAAUUAAGGGAUCCCGUUCCCAUAGAAUGUCACAUCCACAGCAUUCUUAGAGUUGGU